This 301-nucleotide long non-coding RNA is filed under the name Elaeis guineensis (African oil palm). RNAcentral's name for it is "long non-coding RNA (EGUI_LNC080157)". The record is from RNAcentral. Lineage: Eukaryota; Viridiplantae; Streptophyta; Magnoliopsida; Arecales; Arecaceae.
GGCUUUCCUUUUGGUGUAUUCCAUGAAACUUUUCUUGUGGAGGUCCGGAAAGCGAGUAGCCUCCGCGGUGGCCUCUGAAUGGCUCUCCUUCAGUCGGUGAAGUUCGUCUUCCAGCUUCUUGAAUUUUCUUGUCAACCAACGAACUUUCCUUUGGAGGUCUCAUAUCAUCGACUUCAAGAGAAUACCCUCCGACAGGGGAAGAGCUUCGGCAGGACACUGUCAUUGGAGGACAAGAGCGCCAUGACUCAAAUUAAUGCAAGAAGAUAAAAAGAAGGAAAAGAAUAUAAAAAAAGGGGGAGGG